AUGGAAAAAGGGCAAGGGAGCGGAUCGGCGAAGGCGCCGCCAGAGCCGGUCAAGGCGCUGCUUGGAAGGUUAACCCUAGUGGAGGAGGCUGAUGAGGAGUUCGUAUGGGAAGAUGAGGUAACUGAUCCCCCAGAGAAGGCUAAGUGGCUGGCCAUAGCCAAAGUGCAUACAACAAGGGGCUUCAGCUCCAGUGCUCUCUUCGCCGACAUGCGAUCGGCCUGGAAUCCAGCGAGAGAUGUUGUUUGGAGGAGGAUCGAUGGGAACCUCUUCACGAUCCAAUUCGACUGUCUCGGCGACUGG
This 300-nucleotide ribosomal RNA is filed under the name Triticum aestivum (bread wheat). RNAcentral's name for it is "partial small subunit ribosomal RNA". Lineage: Eukaryota; Viridiplantae; Streptophyta; Magnoliopsida; Poales; Poaceae. The record is from RNAcentral.